This 154-nucleotide unclassified non-coding RNA is filed under the name uncultured fungus. RNAcentral describes it as "sequence contains ITS1, 5.8S rRNA gene". Lineage: Eukaryota; Fungi. The record is from RNAcentral.
CAGGGUCUCGCGACUCUCAAACCCACUGUGCAUCAAUACUAUUUACUGCUGCGGCGGGCCGCUCGCUAGGGGAGCUUAGGCCUGUAAAGGUGGCCCGCCAAAGCAACUUUUCAAACACUUUUGAAAUUAAACCAAAACUUUCAAUUAAAUAUCA